Dendronephthya gigantea is the source of this 625-nucleotide long non-coding RNA. RefSeq lists it as uncharacterized. NCBI's taxonomy places the organism in Eukaryota, Metazoa, Cnidaria, Anthozoa, Malacalcyonacea, Nephtheidae. The transcript has 4 exons. The record is from RefSeq and is a predicted model, not a curated record.
AAGGACUGUGUCGCUGUCAGUGAUCUUGGUUGGAAGGUGAAGAAGUGUACAGAGAAAAUUAACUUUGUUUGUGAAUAUGAACUUUCAAUGGGAUCCUGUGACUUUAAGUCAGAUUUCUGUGGUUGGAGAAACGAAUCACAACUUGACAGCAUUGCUUGGAUUCGCGAGUAUGAAGAAGAAAAUGCUUCUAUUUCCUCCAAUUUUUCUGCUGGAGGAAACGAUUCUUCUCUUGCGAACAAUCACAGUUCUCUCGAGCUCAACCCUUACCGAGUUUCGCUCUAUCGUGACACCACUGAAAGACACGUCAUCUCGACUCUCCUCUCGCCAGAGAUGGCGUCCACAAUCACAGAGAGCUAUGGCGUGUGUUUGCAGUUUUCAUUCCUUCUAACUGGUGAAGAAACUUCAUUGAAAGUCAUUCUUGAUAGAAGAGGAACAAGGAUGGAAACUUUGUGGCAUGUGCGUGCUUCUAAUCAAAUUUCCACAUGGAGAGAAGCGCGCGUGUCCCUUGGGAUAGUUUCCAAAUUUAGGGUCCGGUUAACUGGAGAACUGAUGGAUCACGACAGCAAGAUAAAGAUUGCCAAGAUUGCAUUCAACCCUGGCUUGUGCAAAGCAUUGCCUGUUGGAG